Molecule: ribosomal RNA, 492 nt
Filed under: uncultured bacterium
Lineage: Bacteria
Description: partial 16S ribosomal RNA
Rfam family: Bacterial small subunit ribosomal RNA
Source: RNAcentral
AGUGAACGCUGGCGGUAGGCCUAACACAUGCAAGUCGAACGGCAGCACAGUAAGAGCUUGCUCUUACGGGUGGCGAGUGGCGGACGGGUGAGGAAUACAUCGGAAUCUACUUUUUCGUGGGGGAUAACGUAGGGAGACUUACGCUAAUACCGCAUACGACCUACGGGUGAAAGCAGGGGAUCUUCGGACCUUGCGCGAUUGAAUGAGCCGAUGUCGGAUUAGCUAGUUGGCGGGGUAAAGGCCCACCAAGGCGACGAUCCGUAGCUGGUCUGAGAGGAUGAUCAGCCACACUGGAACUGAGACACGGUCCAGACUCCUACGGGAGGCAGCAGUGGGGAAUAUUGGACAAUGGGCGCAGGCCUGAUCCAGCCAUACCGCGUGGGUGAAGAAGGCCUUCGGGUUGUAAAGCCCUUUUGUUGGGAAAGAAAAGCAGCAGGUUAAUACCCCGCUGUUCUGACGGUACCCAAAGAAUAAGCACCGGCUAACUUCGUG